RNAcentral lists this ribosomal RNA (158 nucleotides) under unidentified proteobacterium. Its description in RNAcentral is "partial ribosomal RNA". It matches the Rfam family "Bacterial small subunit ribosomal RNA", at positions 1211 to 1368 of the family's 1533-position model. Lineage: Bacteria; Pseudomonadati; Pseudomonadota. The record is from RNAcentral.
GGGCUUCACACGUCAUACAAUGGUACAUACAGAGGGCCGCCAACCCGCGAGGGGGAGCUAAUCCCAGAAAGUGUAUCGUAGUCCGGAUUGGAGUCUGCAACUCGACUCCAUGAAGUUGGAAUCGCUAGUAAUCGCGGAUCAGCAUGUCGCGGUGAAUA